GUGGGUACAGCUCAGUGGCAGAGCACAUGAUUAGCAUGUACCUGGUCCUGGGUUCAAUCCCCAGUACUUCCA
Molecule: transfer RNA, 72 nt
Filed under: Camelus bactrianus (Bactrian camel)
Lineage: Eukaryota; Metazoa; Chordata; Mammalia; Artiodactyla; Camelidae
Also listed under: 2 other names
Rfam family: tRNA
About the family: Transfer RNA (tRNA) molecules are approximately 80 nucleotides in length. Their secondary structure includes four short double-helical elements and three loops (D, anti-codon, and T loops).
Source: Rfam by way of RNAcentral